Molecule: long non-coding RNA, 561 nt
Organism: Oncorhynchus tshawytscha (Chinook salmon)
Lineage: Eukaryota; Metazoa; Chordata; Actinopteri; Salmoniformes; Salmonidae
Source: Ensembl
UCUAUCAUUGUCUCUGAUUGGGAACCAUAUUUAGGCAGCCAUAUUCUGUGGGUACUUUGUGGGUGGUUGUCUUCUGUCAUUGCACCACAGGACUGUUUCGGGUUUCACAUUUUUUUUGGUAGUGUUCUCGUGUAUGGUCUUGAUUAAACAUGUUGAACUCUAACCAUGCUGCAUUUUGGUCCUCCUCUCCUUCAGCGGAAGAAAGCCGUUACAAUCAGGUGACAGUGUUCUCUAAGCACAGGUUGAACCAUGAAUAAUGGAUCUGCCAAUGGCCCAGGCCCCCGUGGGACCCACAGCCCUCACUGUGACUGGAAUUAUCAAUGCCCCAUUAACAACCAUUGAUUCAUUGCACCGCCAUCCCCAACAGGAACUGGGAUUAGUUCAUUAGAGUUCCUGACCCUGACCCUGAGCCUACCUGCCAUUUCUGUACCUUGUCACACCACCCUGGAUUAUUGACCUCUGCCUGCCCUGACCCUGAGACUGCCUGCCGUUCUGUACCUUUUGGACUCUGAUCUGUAUUACUGACUUCUGCCUGCACUUGACCUGUCAUUUUGCCUCUCC